This 507-nucleotide transfer RNA is filed under the name Borreliella burgdorferi (Lyme disease spirochete). Its description in RNAcentral is "partial 16S-23S ribosomal RNA intergenic spacer". The stretch from base 17 to 90 matches the Rfam family "tRNA". The record is from RNAcentral. Lineage: Bacteria; Pseudomonadati; Spirochaetota; Spirochaetia; Spirochaetales; Borreliaceae.
AAGUUUAGGUCAUUUUGGGGGUUUAGCUCAGUUGGCUAGAGCAUCGGCUUUGCAAGCCGAGGGUCAAGGGUUCGAGUCCCUUAACCUCCAUUGGGCUUAUGUCCUAAAUCGUAAUUAAGUAUGUUUUUAAGUAACUUUGUUAAAGUAAUUGUUGGAACGUGAAACAGAGGAAGUUAAAAUUUCUGGGUUAAGUUGAGAUCUGUUGAUAUUAAGAAGAAUCUCUAGAAGCAAAAGCAAGCUUUCGAUAAAACCCGAAGUUGUUUCGCUAAAGUGCAAGGAUUAAACAGGAUUGUAUUUUCCAGUAGCCUAUUUUAUAAAUGAUCUGCAUUUAGUAAAUAGUUUUUAGUUAAGAAAUAAUGUAGAUUGCUAAGUGUGAUGCCUGAAAGAAGGACAAGUAUUGUAGCGAGCCUAAAUCCUUGUUGUCGUUGCCAGUAUUUAGUGGUAGGGAUUCGGAUAAGACUGCCAUUUAUAAGUUGGAGGAAGGCAAAGAUUGCAUUAAAUCGUUAU